GGGCGAUUAACUCAGCGGUUAGAGUGCUUUCUUUACACGGAAGAGGUCACUGGUUCGAAUCCAGUAUCGCCCAC
RNAcentral lists this transfer RNA (74 nucleotides) under compost metagenome. RNAcentral's name for it is "tRNA-Val". It matches the Rfam family "tRNA". Rfam says of the family: Transfer RNA (tRNA) molecules are approximately 80 nucleotides in length. Their secondary structure includes four short double-helical elements and three loops (D, anti-codon, and T loops). The record is from RNAcentral.